CAGCAGCCGCGGUAAUACGGAGGAUGCGAGCGUUAUCCGGAUUUAUUGGGUUUAAAGGGUGCGUAGGCUGGUACUUAAGUCAGUGGUGAAAUCCACCGGCUCAACUGGUGAACUGCCGUUGAUACUGGGUACCUAGAGUUUAGUUGACGCGGGCGGAAUGUGUCAUGUAGCGGUGAAAUGCAUAGAGAUGACACAGAACACCGAUAGCGAAGGCAGCCCUCGCGAAGCUAACACUGCACGCUGAUGCACGAAAGCGUGGGGAUCAAACAGGAUUAGAUACCCUGGUAGUCCCACGCUGUAAACGAUGAUCACUAGCUGUGGGCGAUACACUGUCCGUGGCCAAGCGAAAGCGAUAAGUGAUCCACCUGGGGAGUACGUC
This 379-nucleotide ribosomal RNA is filed under the name uncultured bacterium. Its description in RNAcentral is "bacterial SSU rRNA". It matches the Rfam family "Bacterial small subunit ribosomal RNA", at positions 509 to 886 of the family's 1533-position model. The record is from RNAcentral.